RNAcentral lists this ribosomal RNA (492 nucleotides) under uncultured bacterium. Its description in RNAcentral is "partial 16S ribosomal RNA". It matches the Rfam family "Bacterial small subunit ribosomal RNA", at positions 28 to 507 of the family's 1533-position model. The record is from RNAcentral.
GAUGAACGCUCGCUACAGGCUUAACACAUGCAAGUCGAGGGGAAACGACAUCGAAAGCUUGCUUUUGAUGGGCGUCGACCGGCGCACGGGUGAGUAACGCGUAUCCAACCUGCCCAUCACUUGGGAAUAACCUUGCGAAAGUAAGACUAAUACCCAAUGACAUCCCCCGAAGACAUCUGAAUGGGAUUAAAGAUUUAUCGGUGAUGGAUGGGGAUGCGUCUGAUUAGCUUGUUGGCGGGGUAACGGCCCACCAAGGCAACGAUCAGUAGGGGUUCUGAGAGGAAGGUCCCCCACAUUGGAACUGAGACACGGUCCAAACUCCUACGGGAGGCAGCAGUGAGGAAUAUUGGGCAAUGGGCGAGAGCCUGAACCAGCCAAGUAGCGUGCAGGAUGACGGCCCUAUGGGUUGUAAACUGCUUUUAUAAGGGAAUAAAGUGGGUCUCGUGAGACUUUUUGCAUGUACCUUAUGAAUAAGGACCGGCUAAUUCCGUG